Molecule: ribosomal RNA, 249 nt
Filed under: uncultured Agrobacterium sp.
Lineage: Bacteria; Pseudomonadati; Pseudomonadota; Alphaproteobacteria; Hyphomicrobiales; Rhizobiaceae
Description: partial 16S ribosomal RNA
Rfam family: Bacterial small subunit ribosomal RNA
Source: RNAcentral
UGGGGAAUAUUGGACAAUGGGCGCAAGCCUGAUCCAGCCAUGCCGCGUGAGUGAUGAAGGCCUUAGGGUUGUAAAGCUCUUUCACCGGAGAAGAUAAUGACGGUAUCCGGAGAAGAAGCCCCGGCUAACUUCGUGCCAGCAGCCGCGGUAAUACGAAGGGGGCUAGCGUUGUUCGGAAUUACUGGGCGUAAAGCGCACGUAGGCGGAUAUUUAAGACAGGGGUGAAAUCCCAGAGCUCAACUCUGGAAC